This 465-nucleotide ribosomal RNA is filed under the name Noritonus subeminentus. RNAcentral's name for it is "partial large subunit ribosomal RNA". Lineage: Eukaryota; Metazoa; Arthropoda; Insecta; Hemiptera; Cicadellidae. The record is from RNAcentral.
UUCUUUUAGUUUUUAUUAAAGGUAAUUUUUGCCCUAUGAUUAAAUUUAAAUGGCUGCAGUAUAUUGACUGUACAAAGGUAGCAUAAUAAUUAGUUUCUUAAUUGGUAACUUGUAUGAAAGGAUAAAUGAGGGAUUUUUUUUAUUAUUUUUAUUAUUAAAAUUUUAUUUUUUGGUAAAAAAGCUAAAAUGAAUUUUAGGGACGAGAAGACCCUAUAGAACUUUUAAAGUAUUAAAAUUUGUUUUUUUAGUUUUUUAUAUAUCUUAUUUAAUUUACUUUUUUUAUUGGGGUGAUAGAUAAAUUUAAUAGGCUUUAUUUUUUUUUUUCAUUAAUUAUUGUUUAAUUUGAUCCUUUAAUAAGAUUGAAAGAUAAGUUACCUUAGGGAUAACAGCGUAAUUUUAAUUGAAAGUUCAUAUUUAUAUUAAAGUUUGCGACCUCGAUGUUGAAUUAAGGUAAUUUAAGGUGUA